GAUGAUGAAAACUCUACUGUGAACAUCUACCUUGCUAGAUUCUCCACUUACCAAAUAACCAAAUACUCCUGAGGAUCCAGAAUAGAACUUAAGAAGCUGAAGGCCAAGUAGUUCUACAUAGCCAUGAAGAAGGCCAGAGACCUUCUUGAGAUGUUAUCUACAGAGCUGGUCUGGAUGGGAUGCCAGUCUAAACCUACACAUUGAAAGGAUCUCAUAAGCAAGUAUAAAGCUGGAAGCAAAGUUCAAAAGUAGUUUUAAGUAAGUUAUUUUCAUCUCCAGCUAUAUUUUUCAGGAUGUUAACAGCUCAAUUGUCAACGUUUGGCUCCUAGGGCAGAGAAGGUGAGCUGGUCCCAGCACCCAGAAGGAAGCUCCCUCACUGCCAUCCCAAGCUCCUAGGGCAGAGAAGGUGAGCUGCAAGGGUGCCAGAAGCACCCUCCCCGCCAGGGGAAAUGAGAAGACAUGUAAACAAGCCUCAAAAACAGACUUCUGGAUCACCUACAGCAACCCCAAAGGGAAAUGAGAUGGAACAAUCUGAUACUCAACUACUUGGACUCUCUGAACUGGCAACAAAAAAGGAUCUGGGAAAAAUGAAAUCAGAAAUAAUUUCUCAGAUAACAGCAAAGAUUUUGCUCAUGGUGCAAGACAUGAUUAAUAAAUCUAGAGAGGACACAGAUAAAAAAAAUAGAGG
Molecule: long non-coding RNA, 688 nt
Filed under: Heterocephalus glaber (naked mole-rat)
Lineage: Eukaryota; Metazoa; Chordata; Mammalia; Rodentia; Bathyergidae
Description: lncRNA (ENSHGLG00100049339.1)
Source: RNAcentral